AGAGCCCUAGCUCCAUGCAUGCAAGGGACUCGUGAAAAUGCAGCCAACUUCCUCAAUCUUCCAACCAAGAUUGCUCAUGCUAUGGUUCACCAAAUGAGAUGAUAUAAAAAGCAAAGUUCAAGUGCGAAAUGAGUAGAACACAAUGGUGUCUUGUUUCAUUAAAAAUAGUGACUUGAACAUGAAGAAAAGUGGACAGCAAGAGGGCCUCAUGAACACGGAUACAAC
RNAcentral lists this long non-coding RNA (225 nucleotides) under Lathyrus oleraceus (garden pea). RNAcentral's name for it is "Pisum sativum (pea) long non-coding RNA (PSAT_LNC002287)". Lineage: Eukaryota; Viridiplantae; Streptophyta; Magnoliopsida; Fabales; Fabaceae. The record is from RNAcentral.